RNAcentral lists this long non-coding RNA (560 nucleotides) under Fukomys damarensis (Damara mole-rat). Its description in RNAcentral is "lncRNA (ENSFDAG00000024190.1)". The record is from RNAcentral. Lineage: Eukaryota; Metazoa; Chordata; Mammalia; Rodentia; Bathyergidae.
GUGUAAUAAAAAAUAUGGUGAAUCCCGUUGCUGACUGUCAUUCAACAGAAGGUCAGGCUCAUAAAAUAUUAUGGUUUGUCCUCGUCCUUCUUUUUCAUUGGAUUUGGCACCAUCAGACGUCAGGCUUUUCCCCAAAGUCAAAAUGACCAUGAAAGGUAAAUGUUUUGAAACAGUUCGGGACAGUGAAGCAGCUGUGACAGCUCAACCAAAGAUUCUCUCCAAAGAGGACUCCCAGAACCGCUUCAAAGAGUACACGGAUGACUGGCUACAGAAGUACAGACAAGCAGGUGCAAAUUCUUCAUGUCACCCGGCCUGCAGAAGGCUCGAGAGCCAGCCCUCCUGGGAAAGUGAGUGAUGGGCCAGCAGCAGAAUGAAUGAGCAUUUUUAAUAGCCUGAGUAUAAUUCCUCAAUGCCAAAGUGUACUGUAGAAACUCUGAAAAACAAAAGUUUUUGUUGUUUGUUUAUAAAUCUGCAACACAUUUGUUUGACUGUAAAAGCUGCCUGAACUGGUAUGAAAUUGUUUAUCAUCUUUAUCUCAUUUGAGUACUUACACACUGGGC